GGUGCUGCUGCCACUCACUGUGAAGGUUACUAUCUGUCUUUUAUUGUAAUUACAAAAGCUUACUGCAAAACCCGAAACCUUGCUGGGAAAUCGCCUACCUACACAAAGAACACAGAGUCCCUAUCGUUUCAGAGUUCAGUUCUUUCUGAGCUUUUUGAUAAAGGAGUUUUUGUCUGCCUUGGGAAGCUCCAACACGGAGGAACUGAAAAUCCAGAUCCUAUCGGCUUUCCUUGAAGGAGGUGUUACAGUGUGUUUAUUCUCCCGCUGUUUGCUUUCACCACCCCGGGCUCAAGAUUUGAAUACUAUAAUCACAAUGCGGGAGGGUGUUGGAGGUAUUUAUUUUUAUUCCCACUGCCAGCAUCAUCACGGUGUGUGAUCCAAAUUCACACGCCUCAGACAGACAACAUGUGGCCCCACUGGGCAGCUGCUUCCCCAAGGCUGAGAUACCGUUAAGGUUCAUGUUUUGCCUCAUCAAAAAGGUCUCAAAUUUCUUUCAAAGCAUCAAAGUGCUCAGAAUAAAACAAAACAAACAAACAAACAAAACAACCAACCAACCACACAGAAGUUAUCCAAGAAGAAAGGAACCAGACUGCUGGACUUGGCCAAGAAUAAAUGGAACUAGAGUUUCAACAUCUUCCUACCCUGUAAAGUUGCAAAUCUGUAGCCUUUGAAAACUGUGAAGAUGGGAAAUGUAGCAAACUGAAUUGAACAUUUACCAACAAUUGUUUGGAGAAUUCUCCUGCCUUUUUGGGUAAGAAACUGUUUACAGCCAUGAUUAUAAGAACCCUCGUUUUUAUUCUCCUUAGUAAACUGGGGCUGCCAACGUCUGAAGUUCUCUUAUCUGCUCAGACAUUCUUUGAUCCACCCACCUUAAACAGAACAGGAAAAAGGGUUUGUUUUGGUCUUGUUUUUAAGCAUUGUCACACCCUAAGUAGAAAAAUUUUAGAUUGUGUAUUAGACUAGACAAAUUAAAAACACCUAAA
Molecule: long non-coding RNA, 983 nt
Organism: Phacochoerus africanus (Common warthog)
Lineage: Eukaryota; Metazoa; Chordata; Mammalia; Artiodactyla; Suidae
Exons: 4
Source: RefSeq, a predicted model, not a curated record